GCUGGGCAUGGUGGCGUGUGUCUGUAAUCCCAGCUACUCGGAAGGCUGAGGCAGGAGAAUUGCUUGAACCCGGGAGGUGGAGGUUGCCAUGAGCCGAGAUCAGGCCAUUGCACUCCAGCCUGGGCGACAAUAGCAAGACUCCGUCUCAAAAAAAAAAAAAGAAAAUCGAGACAGAGUGUUGCUCUGUUGCCCAGGCUGGAGUGCAGUGGCAUGAACAGAAGGCUCACUGCAGCCUCAACUUCCUGGGCUCAAACAAUCCUCCUGCCUCAU
Molecule: unclassified non-coding RNA, 270 nt
Organism: Homo sapiens (human)
Lineage: Eukaryota; Metazoa; Chordata; Mammalia; Primates; Hominidae
Source: Ensembl